UGUGAAGGAAAGGUGAAAAGGACCCCGGGAGGGGAGUGAAAGAGAACCUGAAACCCUGUGUCUACAAGCUGUGGAAGUACUUUAUAUGUACGACCGCGUACUUUUUGUAGAACGGUCCGGCGAGUUACGCUUACUGGCAAGGUUAAGCACUUCAGGUGUGGAGCCGUAGGGAAACCAAGUCUUAAUAGGGCCAGAGUCAGUAGGAGUAGACCCGAAACCGGGUGAUCUAUCCAUGUCCAGGUUGAAGCUGCCGUAAGAGGUAGUGGAGGACCGAACCCACAUCCGUUGAAAAGGGUGGGGAUGAGGUGUGGAUAGGGGAGAAAUUCCAAUCGAACCCGGAGAUAGCUGGUUCUCCUCGAAAUAGCUUUAGGGCUAGCCUCGGUGUGAGUCUUGCGGAGGUAGAGCACUGAAUUUCCUAGGGGGCGUCAAAGCCUACCGAAGAAUAUCAAACUCCGAAUGCCGUGUAGAUAUCACCGGGAGUCAGACUGCACGAGAUAAGUUGGGCGGUCAAAAGGGAAAGAGCCCAGACCUACAGUUAAGGUCCCAAAGUGCGCGUUAAGUGGAAAAGGAUGUGGGAUUUCGAAGACAACCAGGAUGUUGGCUCAGAAGCAGCCAUACAUUCAAAGAGUGCGUAAUAGCUCACUGGUCGAGAGGUCCUGCGCCGAAAAUGUCCGGGGCUGAAACGCGCCACCGAAACUAAGGAAUCUGAAAAGAUUGGUAGAGGAGCAUUGCAUGCGGGAAGAAGCAGUACCGUAAGGAGCUGUGGACUGCAUGGAAGAGAGAAUGCCGGAAUGAGUAGCGAGAUAGAGGUGGGAAUCCUCUAGGCCGAAUAUCCAAGGUUUCCAGGGUAAAGCUGAUCUGCCCUGGGUGAGUCGGGACCUAAGGUGAGGGCGAGAGCCGUAGCCGAUGGACAACAGGUUGAUAUUCCUGUACUGCAGUAUGACAGAACUGUGGGGACACGUAAGGAGAGCGGGAGCCGGGAAUGGAAAGCCCGGUACAAGCGAGGUACCAGUAUGGUAGGAAAAUCCGCCAUGCAAUGGGAAGACGUGAUGUGGAGCGAAGAUUAGUAGCGAAGCCCGUGAGCCAUGCGUCAAGAAAAGCCGCUAUUGUUCAUAUUGUACCCGUACCGUAAACCGACACAGGUGGAUGAGGAGAGAAUCCUAAGGCCGGCGGAAGAAGCAUUGUCAAGGAACUCGGCAAAAUGACCCCGUAACUUCGGGAGAAGGGGUGCCUGCGAGAGCAGGCCGCAGAGAAUAGGCUCAAGCAACUGUUUAGCAAAAACACAGGUCUAUGCGAAACCGAAAGGUGAGGUAUAUGGGCUGACGCCUGCCCGGUGCUGGAAGGUUAAGAGGAGAGGUUAGCGCAAGCGAAGCUUUGAAUUUAAGCCCCAGUAAACGGCGGCCGUAACUAUAACGGUCCUAAGGUAGCGAAAUUCCUUGUC
RNAcentral lists this ribosomal RNA (1441 nucleotides) under human gut metagenome. RNAcentral describes it as "bacterial LSU rRNA". It matches the Rfam family "Bacterial large subunit ribosomal RNA", at positions 502 to 1973 of the family's 2925-position model. The record is from RNAcentral.